This 253-nucleotide ribosomal RNA is filed under the name uncultured bacterium. RNAcentral's name for it is "partial 16S ribosomal RNA". It matches the Rfam family "Bacterial small subunit ribosomal RNA", at positions 524 to 776 of the family's 1533-position model. The record is from RNAcentral.
CACGUAGGGCGCAAGCGUUGUCCGGAAUUAUUGGGCGUAAAGCGCGCGCAGGUGGUUUCUUAAGUCUGAUGUGAAAGCCCACGGCUCAACCGUGGAGGGUCAUUGGAAACUGGGAGACUUGAGUGCAGAAGAGGAAAGUGGAAUUCCAUGUGUAGCGGUGAAAUGCGUAGAGAUAUGGAGGAACACCAGUGGCGAAGGCGACUUUCUGGUCUGUAACUGACACUGAGGCGCGAAAGCGUGGGGAGCAAACAGG